Molecule: ribosomal RNA, 373 nt
Filed under: uncultured bacterium
Lineage: Bacteria
Description: bacterial SSU rRNA
Rfam family: Bacterial small subunit ribosomal RNA
Source: RNAcentral
AACGAACGCUGGCGGCAUGCCUAACACAUGCAAGUCGAACGGGAUCCUGGUUUCGGCCAGGUGAGAGUGGCGGACGGGUGAGUAACGCGUGGGAACCUGCCCAGUGGUGGGGGAUAACUGCGGGAAACUGCAGCUAAUACCGCAUGAGCCCGCAAGGGGAAAGAUUGAUCGCCAUUGGAGGGGCCCGCGUUCGAUUAGGUAGUUGGUGAGGUAACGGCUCACCAAGCCUUCGANCGAUAGCUGGUCUGAGAGGAUGAUCAGCCACACUGGGACUGAGAUACGGCCCAGACUCCUACGGGAGGCAGCAGUGGGGAAUAUUGGACAAUGGGGGCAACCCUGAUCCAGCAAUGCCGCGUGAGUGAUGAAGGCCUGG